UUUAACGGAGAGUUUGAUCCUGGCUCAGGACGAACGCUGGCGGCGUGCUUAACACAUGCAAGUCGAACGAUGAGGGCCCGGGCUUGCCCGGGUCUGAUUAGUGGCGAACGGGUGAGUAACACGUGAGUAACCUGCCCCCGACUUCGGGAUAACCGCGAGAAAUCGUGGCUAAUACCGGAUAUGACGCCCCUGCCGCAUGGUGGGGUGUGGAAAGACUGUGUCGGUCGGGGGAUGGGCUCGCGGCCUAUCAGCUUGUUGGUGGGGUGAUGGCCUACCAAGGCGACGACGGGUAGCCGGCCUGAGAGGGUGACCGGCCACACUGGGACUGAGACACGGCCCAGACUCCUACGGGAGGCAGCAGUGGGGAAUAUUGCACAAUGGGCGCAAGCCUGAUGCAGCGACGCCGCGUGAGGGAUGACGGCCUUCGGGUUGUAAACCUCUUUCAGUAGGGAAGAAGCCUCUCGGGGUGACGGUACCUGCAGAAGAAGCGCCGGCUAACUACGUGCCAGCAGCCGCGGUAAUACGUAGGGCGCAAGCGUUGUCCGGAAUUAUUGGGCGUAAAGAGCUCGUAGGCGGUCUGUCGCGUCUGCUGUGAAAACGCGGGGCUCAACCCCGCGCCUGCAGUGGG
This 628-nucleotide ribosomal RNA is filed under the name Georgenia sp. SUBG003. Its description in RNAcentral is "bacterial SSU rRNA". It matches the Rfam family "Bacterial small subunit ribosomal RNA", at positions 1 to 630 of the family's 1533-position model. The record is from RNAcentral. Lineage: Bacteria; Bacillati; Actinomycetota; Actinomycetes; Allobogoriellales; Allobogoriellaceae.